GCAGCCGCGGUAAUACGGGGGAUGCAAGCGUUAUCCGGAUUUAUUGGGUUUAAAGGGUGCGUAGGCGGCGUCUUAAGUCAGCGGUGAAAUUUCGGAGCUCAACUUCGAACGUGCCGUUGAUACUGGGAUGCUAGAAUGCGGAUGCCGUGGGAGGAAUGUGUGGUGUAGCGGUGAAAUGCAUAGAUAUCACACAGAACACCGAUUGCGAAGGCAUCUCACGAAUCCGCUAUUGACGCUGAGGCACGAAAGCGUGGGGAUCAAACAGGAUUAGAUACCCC
This 278-nucleotide ribosomal RNA is filed under the name uncultured Rikenellaceae bacterium. Its description in RNAcentral is "partial 16S ribosomal RNA". It matches the Rfam family "Bacterial small subunit ribosomal RNA", at positions 511 to 788 of the family's 1533-position model. Lineage: Bacteria; Pseudomonadati; Bacteroidota; Bacteroidia; Bacteroidales; Rikenellaceae. The record is from RNAcentral.